GUAUGUUUUGAAACCUUUCUAUUUAAUUCGUUAUAAAAAUUUCCAGAAUCUAUAAAUCCUGGAUUUUCCAUUUCUUUAAAUGUGUGAGGGGAAAAAAUAUAAAUAAAAUAUAAAUAAAUAUAAUAUAUAAUAUAAAUAAAAUAUAAAUAUAAAUAAAUAUAAUAUAAUAAAUAUAUAAUAUAAAUAUAAUAUAUUAAUAUAAUAAAAUAUAUUAAUAUAUUCAAAAUGCUCGAUUGUCUUACUCGACAAAAGGUUCAUUUAUAUACAAUAAUCGCAUCGUAGCGGGUAUAGUUUAGUGGUAAAAGUGUGAUUCGUUGUAUUAAUUCUAAUAUCUAAUAGUUAAGGGAUCCCUCGGUCCAUAUUCCGAUGAAAAACUUUAUUUCUUAAAAAGAUUUAAUCCUUUACCUCUCAAUGAAAAAUUCAAGGAAAAAUAUACAUUCUCGUGAUUUGUAUCCAAGAAUCAAUUAGAAAUUGAAAAAUUGGAUUAUGAAAUUACGAAACAUAAUUUUUUUUAAUUGGAUCAAUGCUUUCAAUUGAAUGAGUAUGAGUAAGGGAUCUAUGGAAAAAGACAGAAAAGUUUAUUUCUAAUCGUAACUAAAUCUUCAAUUUUUUCUUUGUUUUGUAUAGUCGAGAUUGAAGCAAAAUAAGCAUUAAAUGAUGACUUUGGUUUACUAUAGACAUCGGCAUCUUGUUUUAGCUCGGUGGAAACAAAAUGCUUUUCCUAAGGAUUCUCUCAAAUAGAAAUAGAGAACGAAGUAACUAGAAAGAUUAUUAAAAAAAACCCCACUCGUCCAGAGGGAUCAUCUAGAAAGCGUCUUGUUUUGAAUCCAUUAAGACAGAAAAGCUGACAUAGAUGUUAUGACUCGAAUUUUUUUCGCUUAAGUCUUAAAGCUGGAAAUUUUUCCAUAUUCCAUAAAGGAGCCGAAUGAAAUCAAAGUUUCAUGUUCGGUUUUGAAUUAGAGACGUUAAAGAUGAUGAAUCAACGUCGACUAUAACCCCUAGCCUUCCAAGCUAACGAUGCGGGUUCGAUUCCCGCUACCCGCUCUAUAUUCUUUAAAAUCUAUAUUCUCUAAAAAA
RNAcentral lists this non-coding RNA (1077 nucleotides) under Hevea brasiliensis (rubber tree). Lineage: Eukaryota; Viridiplantae; Streptophyta; Magnoliopsida; Malpighiales; Euphorbiaceae. The record is from RNAcentral.